CUCAGGCUUAGGCUUAGGCUUAGGUGUAGGCUUAGGCUUAGGCGUAGGCUUAGG
Caenorhabditis elegans is the source of this 54-nucleotide non-coding RNA. NCBI's taxonomy places the organism in Eukaryota, Metazoa, Nematoda, Chromadorea, Rhabditida, Rhabditidae. The record is from Ensembl.